Molecule: long non-coding RNA, 753 nt
Organism: Spea bombifrons (plains spadefoot toad)
Lineage: Eukaryota; Metazoa; Chordata; Amphibia; Anura; Pelobatidae
Exons: 2
Source: RefSeq, a predicted model, not a curated record
CCCAGCAGGGUUUGAGAAACUUUACAGUUCACCUUUUUGCCACCUUAGACUUCUUUAGUAAAUUAUAGCUCCAUCUAGCGGUGUUAAGUUGUAUUACACCUUGUUUUCUAGUUAAAGAAUAAUGCAUUGUGGGUGAUUGCAAGGCAUUCUGGGAGGGAGGAGCCUCCAUUUUACAGUCUUCAGUCACCAGGACUCAUCAUCAGAGCUGUCUCUGUAUGUCUCCUUCCAAAACUCCACCAUCUGUGUAAUAGCAUAUCUGUUUUACCACAUCACAUUACAUGUACGUGCACACGCUUACGUACUAAAAUCCUGUUUUGCCAUAUAUACUCAACAACCUGUUCACCAAUAAACAAGUUAAACUACAAAGAACAGUCCUCUUAUUUGGAAGACAGGAAUGGUUUAUACUGAAUGUCAGACUGCACACUGUGUGAACGUGUAAGAAGACAGAACAGUAAAACAGAUUGCUAGUCACCAGCGAUAGUGGAUCUGACUGUACGGAGCCGCCAUCAGCAACGCAGUCCUAUGUACAAGAUUGCAGCGGCGGCCAUACAGUCACAAGAAGCGAGAGUGCAGCCCCAGCAAGCGCGACACGAUCCAAACCACGUUGAAGUCCGUUCCUAGUCCUACCUAGACUGAGUCUGCACAGAGACAUUAAGCAGCCAGCAAACAGGCACACCAUGUCCACUAGCAAGGCAUCAACAUACGGGACAAGGUCACGAGCAAGCCGCUCUAGCAAGUCAUCAAUAAAAGAAA